This is a non-coding RNA of Paramuricea clavata, 267 nucleotides long. NCBI's taxonomy places the organism in Eukaryota, Metazoa, Cnidaria, Anthozoa, Malacalcyonacea, Plexauridae. The record is from the annotation of a GenBank genome assembly.
GCUCUUAAUCAUCUGCACAGGAAUAAUUUAAUCUGACACAACAGAAUCCGUUCAAGACACAAAUUUAAGUCAAGGAUUGACGUCAAAUUUACGUACAGUUGGAACUGAUCGGAAUGCCGUCGCUCGCCUUCACUUGGGCCUUGGCCUCGUCAUAAUUGGUCUUUGGCCUCAUUUCACUUGGCCUUGGCCCAGUCAUGAUCACGUAUUCACGUUUCUGCUUUUUCAUUGCGAAGUCAGAAGCCACUAGCCAGUGAGGUAUAUUUUUUU